Molecule: ribosomal RNA, 278 nt
Filed under: uncultured bacterium
Lineage: Bacteria
Description: partial 16S ribosomal RNA
Rfam family: Bacterial small subunit ribosomal RNA
Source: RNAcentral
GCAGCCGCGGUAAUACGGAGGAUGCGAGCGUUAUCCGGAUUUAUUGGGUUUAAAGGGAGCGUAGGUGGUUUGAUAAGCCAGCUGUGAAAUACUGCCGCUCAACGGCAGCCGUGCAGUUGGAACUGUCAGACUUGAGUGUACGGGAGGAAAGUGGAAUUCGUGGUGUAGCGGUGAAAUGUUUAGAUAUCACGAAGAACUCCGAUUGCGUAGGCAGCUUUCUACAGUACAACUGACACUGAUGCUCGAAAGUGCGGGUAUCGAACAGGAUUAGAUACCCC